CAAACCGGGAGGAAGGUGGGAUGACGUACAAGUCCUCAUGGCCCUUUAUGACCAGGGCUACACACGUGCUACAAUGGCGCAUACAAAGAGAAGCGACCUCGCGAGAGCAAGCGGACCUCAUAAAGUGCGUCGUAGUCCGGAUUGGAGUCUGCAACUCGACUCCAUGAAGUCGGAAUCGCUAGUAAUCGUGGAUCAGAAUGCCACGGUGAAUACGUUCCCGGGCCUU
RNAcentral lists this ribosomal RNA (226 nucleotides) under uncultured Enterobacteriaceae bacterium. Its description in RNAcentral is "partial 16S ribosomal RNA". It matches the Rfam family "Bacterial small subunit ribosomal RNA", at positions 1158 to 1382 of the family's 1533-position model. The record is from RNAcentral. Lineage: Bacteria; Pseudomonadati; Pseudomonadota; Gammaproteobacteria; Enterobacterales; Enterobacteriaceae.